RNAcentral lists this ribosomal RNA (576 nucleotides) under Lobophora hederacea. RNAcentral describes it as "LSU rRNA". It matches the Rfam family "Eukaryotic large subunit ribosomal RNA", at positions 84 to 656 of the family's 3401-position model. Lineage: Eukaryota; Phaeophyceae; Dictyotales; Dictyotaceae. The record is from RNAcentral.
UAACGGCGAGUGAAGCGGGAAGAGCUCAUGUUUGAAAUCCAGCUCUGAACGGUGCUGGAGUUGUAACCUAGAGGUGCGUGUUGCCUGCCGGGGGGGCCGCGGCUAAGUCCGAUUUGAAAAGGGCACCAAGGAGGGUGGCAGUCCCGUUCGUGCCGCAGUCCCGCCGGCGAUGUGGCCCGCUUCCAACGAGUCGAGUUGCUUGGGAUUGCAGCUCAAAGUGGGUGGUAAACUCCAUCCAAAGCUAAACACGUGUGGGAGACCGAUAGCGAACAAGUACCGUGAGGGAAAGAUGCAAAGAACUUUGAAAAGAGAGUCAAAGAGUGCCUGAAAUUGCUGAGAGGGAAGCGAAGGAAAGUAGUGUCGGUCGUGGGGAUCUCGCACACGGGGAGCGGCCCGAUCUUCGGGUCGGGCCCUCUCCGUUAUCCCCCGCACUGUCAGGGGCGGGUGCGCGGAUUGGCCGAGGCGGCGGCCAGAGGUAAAGGUGUUCCGAGGUAACAGCCGGACGAAUGCGGCAAUCAGGAUCCGCGUCUCGGGCGCGGCCGUCCCUGACGAAAUGUUUUUCUUUACCCCGUCUUG